RNAcentral lists this long non-coding RNA (598 nucleotides) under Salmo salar (Atlantic salmon). RNAcentral's name for it is "lncRNA (ENSSSAG00000110350.1, ENSSSAG00075031615.1)". The record is from RNAcentral. Lineage: Eukaryota; Metazoa; Chordata; Actinopteri; Salmoniformes; Salmonidae.
GUUAGGUUGAUGUUAGGAUGCUGUUAGGUUGCUGUUAGGCUGCUGUUAGGUUGCUGUUAGGUUGCUGUUAGGCUGCUCAUGGGCUGCUGUUAGGUUGCUGUUAGGUUGCUAUUAGAAUGCUGUUAGGAUGCUGUUAGGUUGCUGUUAAUUUGCUGUUAGGAUGCUGUUAGGUUGCUGUUAGGCUGCUGUUAGGCUGCUGUUAGGAUGCUGUUAGGUUGCUUUCCAGAUGCUGUUCAGAUGCUGUUCAGACACUGUUAGGAUGCUGUUAGGAUGCUGUUAGGCUUAUUUUAGGCUGCUGUUGGGAUGCUGUUAGGCUGCUGUUAGGAUGCUGUUAGGAUGCUGUUAGGAUACUGUUCAGAUGCUGUUAGGAUGCUGUUAUGCCUGCUGUUAGGCUGCUGUUAGAUUGCUGUUAGGAUGCUGUUAGGAUGCUGUUAUGCCUGCUGUUAGGCUGCUGUUAGAUUGCUGUUAGAAUGCUGUUAGGAUGCUGUUAUGCCUGCUGUUAGGAUAUUGUUAGGAUGCUGUUAGGAUGCUGUUAUGCCUGCUGUUAGGCUGCUGUUAGAUUGCUGUUAGAAUGCUGUUAGGAUGCUGUUAUGCCUGC